CAAUGAAGGAAGCAUGAUAAUGUACACAUAAAUUGAAUUGGGUUUUUAGACCUGCCCUCUCUAAUGCCAUUUGGCUUUCAUUUGGCGGUAUGGUUCAGCAGGAAAACA
Rhododendron vialii is the source of this 108-nucleotide small nucleolar RNA. RefSeq annotates it as small nucleolar RNA snoR100. The record is from RefSeq and is a predicted model, not a curated record. The transcript has a single exon. Lineage: Eukaryota; Viridiplantae; Streptophyta; Magnoliopsida; Ericales; Ericaceae.